ACUCCGGUUGAUCCUGCCGGACCCGACCGCUAUCGGGGUAGGGCUAAGCCAUGGGAGUCGAACGCCCCGCCGCUGCGGGGCGUGGCGGACGGCUGAGUAGCACGUGGCUAACCUACCCUCGGGACGGGGAUAACCCCUCGGGAAACUGGGGCUAAUCCCCGAUAGGCGGGGGGUGCCUGGAAGGGUCCUCCGCCGAAAGGGGCCGCGGGGGGUUAUCGCCCGCGGCCCGCCCGAGGAUGGGGCUGCGGCCCAUCACGGUAGUUGGCGGGGUAAUGGCCCGCCAAGCCUACGACGGGUAGGGGCCGUGAGAGCGGGAGCCCCCAGAUGGGCACUGAGACAAGGGCCCAGGCCCUACGGGGCGCACCAGGCGCGAAAACUCCGCAAUGCGGGCAACCGUGACGGGGCUACCCCGAGUGCCCCCCUUGGGGGGGCUUUUCCCCGCUGUAAGUAGGCGGGGGAAUAAGCGGGGGGCAAGACUGGUGUCAGCCGCCGCGGUAAUACCAUCCCCGCGAGCGGUCGGGGUGCUUACUGGGCCUAAAGCGCCCGUAGCCGGCUCGACAAGUCCCCGCCUAAAGCCCCGGGCUCAACCCGGGGAGUGGCGGGGAUACUGUCGGGCUAGGGGGCGGGAGAGGCCGAGGGUACUCCCGGGGUAGGGGCGAAAUCCAUUAAUCCCGGGAGGACCACCAGUGGCGAAGGCGCUCGGCUGGAACGCGCCCGACGGUGAGGGGCGAAAGCCGGGGGAGCGAACCGGAUUAGAUACCCGGGUAGUCCCGGCUGUAAACGAUGCGGGCUAGGUGUUGGGCGGGCGUGCGAGCCCGCCCAGUGCCGCAGGGAAGCCGUUAAGCCCGCCGCCUGGGGAGUACGGCCGCAAGGCUGAAACUUAAAGGAAUUGGCGGGGGAGCACCACAAGGGGUGGAGCCUGCGGCUUAAUUGGAAUCAACGCCGGGAACCUCCACCGGGGGCGACAGCAGGAUGACGGCCAGGCUGAAGGCCUUGCCCGACGCGCUGAGGGGAGGUGCAUGGCCGUCGCCAGCUCGUGCCGUGAGGUGUCCUGUUAAGUCAGGCAACGAGCGAGACCCCCGCCCCUAGUUGCCAUCCCCGGGGCGACCCGGGGGGCACACUAGGGGGACUGCCGCCGCUAAGGCGGAGGAAGGAGGGGGCAACGGCAGGUCAGCAUGCCCCUAAACCCCCGGGCUGCACGCGGGCUACAAUGGCGGGGACAGCGGGUGCCGACCCCGAAAGGGGGAGGCAAUCCCUCAAACCCCGCCUCAGUUGGGAUCGAGGGCUGCAACUCGCCCUCGUGAACGUGGAAUCCCUAGUAACCGCGCGUCAUCAUCGCGCGGUGAAUACGUCCCUGCUCCUUGCACACACUGCCCGUCGCUCCACCCGAGGGGGGAGGGGGUGAGGCCCUCUCCGCCGGGAGGGGGUCGAACCCCCUCCCCCCGAGGGGGGAGAAGUCGUAACAAGGUAGCCGUAGGGGAACCUGCGGCUGGAUCACCU
Molecule: ribosomal RNA, 1500 nt
Filed under: Aeropyrum pernix
Lineage: Archaea; Thermoproteati; Thermoproteota; Thermoprotei; Acidilobales; Acidilobaceae
Description: 16S rRNA
Rfam family: Archaeal small subunit ribosomal RNA
Source: RNAcentral